This is an RNA transcript of Siniperca chuatsi (mandarin fish), 4359 nucleotides long. It is a transcript of the gene named KH domain containing, RNA binding, signal transduction associated 3, with no coding region annotated. The record is from RefSeq and is a predicted model, not a curated record. Lineage: Eukaryota; Metazoa; Chordata; Actinopteri; Centrarchiformes; Sinipercidae. The transcript has 11 exons.
ACCAAUAGCUGCCGCUACCUCAGUCAAGCACUGGAUACAACAGCGUGGGCUUCAAAGAGCCAGUCCACCCAGAGAAGAGAGGGAACCUCACUCCGGCUGUGAUGCGUAGCGGAGCUCUGCUGGCUGAACAACACUUCUAUGGGAUAAAACCUCCCGGUCACAUUUAACCGCUUAUUGUGUGUGUGUGUGUGUGUGGCGCGAGGACGGAGACAUGCUCUUGUAGCGCGAGCGCGAACGACAUUAUCGCCCGCGUUUUUGCUUCACAAAAAUAUUUGGAGCUAACUUGGAGCCGUUUGGACGUUGAGCAAGUUUUGUUUUUUUAUUAACUUGAAUUACAUUUGAGUCGUUUACUUGGAGCCCAAAGCCCAGGAAGAGAUGGAGAGCGAAAAGUACUUGCCGGAGCUUAUGGCAGAGAAGGACACGCUGGAUCCGUCUUUUCAGCACUCCCUGCGGCUACUGGAUCAAGAGAUUGAAAAAAUUCAGAAAGACGAGGGGAAGGAAGAGGAGAAGUUCAUCGAUGUCGUCAUCAACAAGAACAUGAAACUGGGCCAGAAAGUUUUAAUACCAGUCAAGCAGUUUCCUAAAAUUCUGAUUGAUCCGCGCUCUCGCUCUCUGUUGCAGUUUAACUUUGUCGGCAAACUCCUCGGGCCACGCGGGAACUCGUUAAAGAGACUACAGGAGGACACUCUCACAAAGAUGUCAAUUCUCGGAAAAGGAUCCAUGAGAGACAAAGAAAAGGAAGAAGAGCUACGGCAGAGCGGCGAGGCCAAAUAUCACCACCUGAACGAAGACCUGCACGUCCUUAUCGAGGUGUUCGCCCCGCCGGCUGAGGCCUACGCCAGGAUGGGUCACGCUCUGGAGGAGAUCAAGAAGUUUCUCAUACCAGAUUACAAUGAUGAGAUCAGACAGGCCCAGCUGCAGGAGCUCACAUACCUGAACGGCGGCUCAGAGGAUGCCAAGGUGCCAGCGGUGAGGGGCAAGUCAGCCGCCCGUGGAAGAGGGACACCUGUUCCAGGGCCUCCCAGGAGUCGAGGAGGAGUUCCUCCCCUGCACGCAGCGGUGCCCCGAGGCGCAGCACCCAGAGGGGCCCUGCCCAGCCGGGCUCCAUCUUCCAGAGGGAGGGGGGUUCAGAGAGCCAGAGGCGCCCCCCCAACCGCCGGAUACCGGCCGGCUCCUCCCAUAGUUCAGGACACAUAUGGCGAAUAUGAAUAUGAUGACGGCUACGGAACAGCUUACGAUGACCAAGGAUAUGAAUCGUAUGACAACAACUACAGUAAUCAAGGACAAAACUCAGAUGACUACUAUGAAUACGGACACAGUGGGGAAACAUAUGAUUCGUAUGGUCUGGAAGAGUGGGCAAGCAAGGCACCAUCAGCACGAACAACCAAGGGAGUGUACCGAGAUCAGCCAUACUCCAGAUAUUGAACUGUUUAUACAACUCGCACCUGAGGCUAUCACAAGUCGAUGUCCCAGCUAUACCAGGACAUCCAUCCAAUUAUCUCAUUGGUGCUAAAGACUUGACAAACCACACACGAGCUUCCCUCCAAACAUUCAAGCCCACGCAAUGUCAAACCAAAUCCUGAAAAGGCCGUCCAUCUUCACAAAGGAUCUGUCCUUGGCCAAACGGUGGACUUUUAAGUUUUCAUAGUCUGGACUGAGAUGAAUCCUGUGGGGGACGAGACUGAGAGUGACCUGUUGAGAUGCAGAAAAGGAGGAAAAAGAUAAUGCAUGUAUCACACAUCGUCAUUCUCCGGAGAAAGGGAGGGAAAGAGGAAACCCGUGAGGCAAAUGGAGUUCCCUGUCCUCUGGGACAAUCUGUCGGAGAAUAUUUCCUUCAGAGCUUCUGUAUACAUUUUACAUACACACAGUAGUGUACUCUGAACUGACUGUGAACCUGCCCUGUGUCUUUCUUGCUUCAGACUGUUGUUGUACUGUACUACUUACAUUAGGAUGAAUGACUGAAUAAUGCAAUAUGCCAAGGGAAUCAUAUUUCUAGCAAAGACACUUUUAAUCUCAUAUUGUUGCGCUCAUUAACCUACAUCCAAUCCACUCCAAUGAAUAACUAAUUCAACAAGUGCCUUAUUGUUGCAUCGUUAUGGCAGUUUUAGAUGUUUAGUCCCAUUGCCAGAGUUAAAAUAUGGGGCAGUACACUAGAAAAGGUAGCUGUUUUGUUUUCUUGUAUGCUGUUUUUUGGUUUGCUGUAUGCAUUACCACAAUGCUGGAAAACACCACCCAGCCACACACAAGAGUACAGUCUAUUCCAGAUGUAUUGCUUAAUCAGAAUCGACUUCAGUGGAUAUUACAAUUCCAAAAUAGCUUUCUAUCGGAUAGAGAGCUUCAUUCUGUCUUGUGCAUAAGUCCAGAUAGGCUGAUCCGUAUUCCACACAGUUGUAUGUCCUCAGUGGCAGACAAUAGUUUUCCAUUAGAGGAAGUGAUUCUCUCUGGAGCCUCGGGCCAAGCCUCACACAAUAACACAGCGACCUAAAGCUUGCAUCUCGGACUCCCCGAGUCAACUCUCAUCACCUUUAGGGGCUGAUUCCCCCUCUGAGGUGGCUUAAAAAGACAGGCUUAUCUGAAGUAAGCUUGUCCAAGUUAAUAAGUAGGAGCAGCUUAUUUGAUUAAGAAUGCAUACAAAGGAGGAUGUAGUGAUCUGUCACUGGGAGACAAGUCCAUUUCAACAGUAGAAUACAGAUCGAUGGGUCCCGAACAUUGGGUACAGGGACCAGGGACCACAGAGGAUCUGGAGCAAAAUUAGAAAUAGCUUAAAAGCCUCUUCUUUCUUCUCAAACAGCUUCUUACUACGAAUGAUGUGGCCCUAUAUGAACACACAAUGUUCCACCACAGUUUUGUAAUGUAUGAGAGAUUUCUAUGUUUGUCUGUUUGUCCUUUCCUUUCUCACUGAUUUUAAAUGGGCAGGGAUCAGUUGGAAAAACCUGAUCUGAUGUUGUUUGCUCACGUUGCCAGCACUGUCAAUCAAAUCUGAUCAGACCACACCUACACAGUCCUGAAAAAGCAGAUUAGCGUUCCAUCCAUACAAAAACCAAAGUGUAAAAUGAAAAUUUCUUGGACCAUUAUCUUCCUGGAUUGUCCACUAGUUGCCUGGGAAAUGGUUAAAUUGUUGUUUUUACACUUCAGCUUUUGUACUUAUUAAACAAACAAAAUAUGAAGUGUUAGUGAACCUUAGAGGGGCUGGUAGGCGGAUUUGGUUAACUUUAGACGGAAGCGAGGCUAGCUGUUUCCAGUCUUUAUGCUAAGCUAAGAAAACCGGCUGUUGGGACCAGCUACAGGGAUAGCAGUGGCGUGUAUUGUUGUCUGCCAGAGUGUCUUUUUUUAUCUGCCACUUGGGAGCACCACAGUCAGAAAUUUUUAAUUUCCAUACAUGGCUUUUCAUUUCAUUCCCUUAAAAGCAAAUACAGGAAACAUAGUCGACUACUACUAGCAACAUUCAAUAUUAAAUGACCUACGUAUAACUGAGUAAUGGUCAAUUAUAUCGGUCCUUUCUUUGGCUUAGAACUUUUUUUUUUUAAAAAGCGAUGGCUUUUAGAAGUGUGCUUAUCCACUUGUAUUCCUUUUAAUCAUGUUCAGGAUCUAAAGUGGUCGCGUCCUGCCUUUUGUUCUGUAAUUAACUGGAAGGCUCUUAAUCUUACUGAGAUUAAAACAACCUGAUCAAUGUUGAAGUGUCCCUCUGUCUCCUUUGGAAGUGAGUGCUAAUGUGACCACGGGUCAGUGUGUGUCGCCUGCUAAGUGGAAACUCAGAUUGUGAAGGAUCGAUCAUUACAGGGCUUUGAGUGAACAGGAGUGAAUAAUAGCAAUAAUACAGAGACUGUACUGCCAUUAUCUUGACCAAUGGAAAUCUUUUCAACCACAAUAUACCCAACAAACUUUUCUUUAUCCGGGAAAUAUAAAUAUUUUCAUGCUCUUACUUUUGUUAGCUUUUAUUUUUAGUCACUUUUAGGGUAAAAAAAAGAAAGAACAGAUUUAAAAAUAUCAGGCUUUUAAAACAAGAAAAAUAAGUCACAGGUAAAGACAAAAGACUGAGAAAAAAAGAGAAGGGAAAACAAAACAAUGAAAGAAAAUCUUACCUUCCAUUAAAGGUACAAAUGCUUUGUGGGGAGAAGCAGAUAUCAAACAGGAACAAGACUGAAAAACAAAACUUUUUUAAGACGUGUGUGUGCAAAGUCAGCAUGUACUUGUCAACCAUAUGCUGUAUAUAAAUUGUGCAUUGUGCAUAUUGUACAUCAUGUUCCUGUAUAAUUUCCAUGUGCUGUUAUGCUUUAAACUCAGAGUCAAUACAUAAAUACAUGUUUAGUCUGUAGAAAUCCUUAUCAAAAAUAAAGUUUUCCUCUUGUUAAUAAAAAA